GAGCUUUCUUGCCUCUUCUGCCAUGUGAGGGCACAGCAAGAAGACCAUGCUCUAUAAAUCAGAAAAUGGGUCCUUACAGACCAAACUGGCUGGCACCUUUAUUGUGGACUUUCCAAUCUGUGGAAAUGUGAGAAAUAAGUGUUGUGUAAGGCCAUGGUAUUUUUGUUAUAGGAACCAUGAAGACAGUUUUUAUAGACCAAAGUUAAGGCUGAAUUGAGAAGGCUCAGAAGACCCUGGCUAGAGUUUCGUCAAGUUUAAAAUGAUCGUCAACUCUGUAUACAUCAAAAUUGAGUUCAGUGCGUGCUGGACUGUUUUCUCUGUUUCAAUAGUAUAUGACUCAUUAAAAUAUGUUGUUACUACUUUUUCUUCAAU
This 372-nucleotide long non-coding RNA is filed under the name Homo sapiens (human). RNAcentral describes it as "HSALNT0299675". The record is from RNAcentral. Lineage: Eukaryota; Metazoa; Chordata; Mammalia; Primates; Hominidae.